GAAUCAGGUGUUUUUUUUUCUGUCUUUCAGAACACUAUCAUAGAGUUAAGCGAGUGAAAAGCCAAAGGAAAUGGCUGCUCAAGAAAAUUACAUUUAAAUGGAGUGCAUUGGUUUCACCAAUCUCUUAAAGGUUCCUGGAAAUCUUUAAGAUUCUCAUGCCUGUGAGGAACAGCCUAGCCUAGAAAGAAGACCUGUUUGGCAAGUGGGAGACUGAAUUAGAGGAGCAGCACCAUAUGCAGGAACAGAUUCACUAUUGCAGAGCUCUAUCUCCAUUUUCCCUCUUCUGAACAUAUCCCUUUACUCUUCUGCCACAAGGCUAUCAGAUCCAAGCAGAUGCCAGCCUCCUGAACUGUGAGUCAAAUCUCUUUUCUUCAUAUAAAAACUAGCCAUGCUCAGGUAUUCUGUU
This 406-nucleotide long non-coding RNA is filed under the name Fukomys damarensis (Damara mole-rat). Its description in RNAcentral is "lncRNA (ENSFDAG00000021881.1)". Lineage: Eukaryota; Metazoa; Chordata; Mammalia; Rodentia; Bathyergidae. The record is from RNAcentral.